This 203-nucleotide long non-coding RNA is filed under the name Lathyrus oleraceus (garden pea). RNAcentral's name for it is "Pisum sativum (pea) long non-coding RNA (PSAT_LNC036447)". Lineage: Eukaryota; Viridiplantae; Streptophyta; Magnoliopsida; Fabales; Fabaceae. The record is from RNAcentral.
UCUCGCAACCAAAUCUUGGGUUCGGGAGCCGAUUAUGCGAAGGAAAGGUAUUAGCACCCCUACGCAUCUGUAGUACUCUACGGGAUCCACUUUUGUUAUUCUUGUCUAAAGGGUGUAGGUUUAUCUAAUGCACUAUUUACUAAAAGAGGGGUCAAAAGAAAAUGACUCGCACGGAUGUCGCAUCCACUGCAUACGUAUCUCAU